GGCGUGGUGGCAGAGUGGUCUAAUGCGCAAGACUAGGGAUCUUGUUCCUUCGGGAGCGUCGGUUUAAAUCUAGCCUAUGUCG
Lasiosphaeria hispida is the source of this 82-nucleotide non-coding RNA. The record is from the annotation of a GenBank genome assembly. NCBI's taxonomy places the organism in Eukaryota, Fungi, Ascomycota, Sordariomycetes, Sordariales, Lasiosphaeriaceae.